This 253-nucleotide ribosomal RNA is filed under the name uncultured bacterium. Its description in RNAcentral is "partial 16S ribosomal RNA". It matches the Rfam family "Bacterial small subunit ribosomal RNA", at positions 524 to 776 of the family's 1533-position model. The record is from RNAcentral.
UACGGAGGGUGCAAGCGUUAUCCGGAUUUACUGGGUUUAAAGGGUGUGUAGGCGGACUUUUAAGUCAGGGGUGAAAUCCCGAGGCUCAACCUCGGAACUGCCUUUGAUACUAUUGGUCUUGAAUGUUGUUGAGGUGGGCGGAACGGGUCAUGUAGCGGUGAAAUGCAUAGAUAUGACCCGGAACACCGAUUGCGAAGGCAGCCCGCUAAGCAACUAUCGACGCUGAGGCACGAAAGCGUGGGGAUCAAACAGG